UUUAUUGGAGAGUUUGAUCCUGGCUCAGGAUGAACGCUGGCGGCGUGCCUAAUACAUGCAAGUCGAGCGAAUGGAUUAA
RNAcentral lists this ribosomal RNA (79 nucleotides) under Bacillus cereus. RNAcentral describes it as "partial 16S ribosomal RNA". It matches the Rfam family "Bacterial small subunit ribosomal RNA", at positions 1 to 78 of the family's 1533-position model. RNAcentral also lists the same sequence under 1 other name. The record is from RNAcentral. Lineage: Bacteria; Bacillati; Bacillota; Bacilli; Caryophanales; Bacillaceae.